UUGAGUAUUAAAAAAGAAUGUAUAAAGGGUGCUUAUUCAUUUUGCCCUGACAUUCUUCCUUUAGAACCAAUUUGUACGUGGUAUGAUCAAACACGCUUAUUUCUUGUGUAGGAAUUGCGAGCGAGAGGGUUAAAAAAGUUUGGGGAUUGGUGUUUAAUGAACGCUCAAUUUUUAAAACGAGUACACUGUACCUACCGUGAAUAGACGUUCUGCUUGGUAUCGCGCAUUUGGUAAAAAUAGAAAAUUAUCAGCUCGCAUUAUGUCGACUUGCGUAUGCACUCAUUUCAUUGCACAGUGAUAUUCGCCGAUUCGCGAUGUGUUGUGGAAAAUAAUUUUGGUGUUUCUUUGUGAUAAUGAUUAAUUCGAUUAGUAUUCUCACUCGAACUCAGGUUUUCAUCUUGAAGCCGUGGUGCAGCCAAUUCCCGUUCUAAACGCUCCGUCUGGAGUUGGGAAUUUCUUUGUCUGGCCUGGAAAAUUGUCAGCAUCUUCUCCAGACACCCCAUUGAUAACAUCGCCAGCUCUUGGGGUGUGGACGGCUCGUGCCAUCUGGGCGAUUCAUGAGAUGGCGGCGGCGGUGGUGGUGGUGGCGCCUCUUCUCGGUCGAUGGCUGCUGAAGACGGCGGCGAGACGUGUUCAUAAAAUUCUCUUAGUAAUUGCAUAUCUUUUUCCCCCCUAGGCAACGGGGCACUGUAACAAUAAGAGAAACAAUAUUAAAAAUAGAUUAUAUGUAGAAUAAAAGUAACUUACUGAAAGUGA
Photinus pyralis (common eastern firefly) is the source of this 756-nucleotide long non-coding RNA. RefSeq lists it as uncharacterized. NCBI's taxonomy places the organism in Eukaryota, Metazoa, Arthropoda, Insecta, Coleoptera, Lampyridae. The record is from RefSeq and is a predicted model, not a curated record. The transcript has 2 exons.